RNAcentral lists this transfer RNA (72 nucleotides) under Diogenichthys atlanticus (longfin lanternfish). Its description in RNAcentral is "tRNA-Trp". It matches the Rfam family "tRNA". From Rfam's summary of the family: Transfer RNA (tRNA) molecules are approximately 80 nucleotides in length. Their secondary structure includes four short double-helical elements and three loops (D, anti-codon, and T loops). Lineage: Eukaryota; Metazoa; Chordata; Actinopteri; Myctophiformes; Myctophidae. The record is from RNAcentral.
AGGGGCUUAGGCUAACACUAAGACCAUGGCCCUUCAAAGACCAAAGCGGGAGUGAAAAUCUCUCAGCCCCUG